CAAGGAUGAAUUUCCUACCAGUAAUUGCAUAUCAAACACAAUCAAAUGAACCCCAAUUUGCUAAAGGAUCAUUCCUUAUUGUUUUGACAAUAGGAUUUGGAGACCUACUGCAGUUUCACUUUGCCAUUUUUUUCAAUAAAGUUUCAAUGAGUUUAACAGAUUAUCUAUUUAGGUCUGUAAUGAUGAUGAGAACAGGAAAUUCGGACAGGAAAAUGGGUCGCUUCUUAGGCUUCCUGCCAGACUUUGAAAACCACCAUAACAAGUUGUUUCUGCCAAAGUGGGUAUGAGUGAUACAGAAGAACGUAUAUGAGGCAGAGGUUGAUUCUUCCAGACUCUAGGAGGAAAAGCAUCGAAGAUAUUCCACAGAGAAACCUGAAAGCAUCGUAAAGGUAAGAAACGAACAGGUGACAAUAACUAGGAAGAAUUUGUCCUUCUUUAUGUGGAGAUUAUAAAAAAAAAAAGAAAAUAGAAGAUACAAAGGAGGAAAGCAUUGUUCCUUAUAGCAUGUUGCUGGUUGUCGCAGCUAGAUUACCAUUGACUGUUGCAAAGCUGAGCAAGCACAAAACCAUGAAUGAUAGAUGCUUUAUAUAGAAUGGAAGUUGGGAAUAGAAGAUGGCAGGCAGGAGGAGGCAAGCACAAACAGCAAGAUAAUUAUGCUGAAACCCAAUCAGGUGCCUCACAGGGCAUUAUACUAUUUCCUCUCACUUGUUAAAGGCACGUGGGCCUAUAGAUCUCAAAAUAGGUGAAUUGAAACAUGAGUAACAUUGAGAAUUUGGCUACAAGUGUCAUAAAGAUAAAUGGCUUGGAAAUUAUUUAAAGUUCAUCAAAUGUCCUGACUCUUCUAAGAACCUCAACAAACCAAAAGGUUCUUAAGUGAAGAACUUUUCAUGUACUGCCUAAACAAUAAAUAAUGUGAUCUCCUGUGCUCCUCUUAAUUUCUCAAAGUUCCCAGAGUAUUUUUUUUAAUUAAGAAGUUUGCUCUAAUGGGAACAAAUAUUACAAAUUAUUACAAAACAAAAUAUAUCCUAUAUAUUCUAGUCUCUCUAUACCAUAUAUUAUAUAGACAGUAUAUGAUGUUCUAUAUAUUAUAUUCUAGAUUUCAAACUGGUGGCAGUCAGUUAAUUUCCAUUCUCCCAUUCACACAAAAUCACCAUAUGUACUCAAAAUUAUCAUCUCCCUUCUUUUAUACAGACUAAGGAAUCCCAUUUUGCAUUAUGCUUUACCUUGCAUUUUUCAGCACUUCUACUAUUUCCAUUUGUCUUCUGUAUGCCCUUGUCAAUUGAUUAAAAUAUAGAGUUCGAAACAGGCAAAAUGAUAGGCUUAGUAGUUUUGGAUACGUGGAGCCCGUGAUGCUGUCCUUAUUUAUACAUCUUCGAGACCAAUAAUCAUUUACCUACAGGCAUUGCUGACUCAUGGUUAGUUCUCAAGUCUUUCUAAUCCAUUGUUCUCCACCAAUCAUGCCCAAUUUUAUGUCUGUGAGGCCAUUGUGAGAUCUCUUUUACUUGGGAAUUUCAUAUCACUAUUUGCCUAGCAACAUUUCCUUUUUUUUUUUUUCCUGCCAACAUUUCCAAUUGUAAAUUUGGUUUUCAGCUAUGUUAACUGUGAUGUUGAUAACAGAUCUCUGCUUUAAGUUAUAAUAAAGCCAAAUAAAUUCAGGUUGUUGGAACUCUCCUUGAAGGACCUCCUGGUUUGGUAAUGAAUUCUUGGUCAUUUUUUAGCUGUUAGAAAACUUAUAACAUGUUUUCAGUAUUUAGAAGUAAUAGGAGCAAAGAAAAAAUUUUCUGAUGUGUGGAGGGCUCUAAGGUUCAUCAACUAGUAAAGAUAUGGGUAUAUAAUUUAUUGUUUUAAAUUCCAUGCUAUCACUGUCCAUGUGGCAGAAACUGUUUUUUACUAAAAACAUUAUUAAAUAGUACAAAGCAGUUUUGCAGUGCAUGAUUGCCAACAUUAUGAAAUAUUUACAGAUUCAUUUGAGUGAGCUCUGCCUUAAGUUAAUUUUAUAGUAAUAUAUUAUUCAGAAUUCCAUUAAAACCUAAGAGUAAAGUCUUAAUUUUAGUGAAUUCUAGAAAAAUUAAAAUGACUUUGUUGCUAGAUUUCACAAACCUGAGUUCCCAGAAUAUCCUGGAAUCAAGUGGAACAAGAUGUCUUUUAAUAACUUUUAAGAAAAUAAAAAAAGAAUAUUUAGGGAGGAAAAGGUGGGUAAUGGAAAGGAAUAGCUGACUACUCACAAGUGUGAUGAAGUGCCUCAAGAUGCAAAGCGAAAUUACAUAUAGCUGUCUAAUACUGACUUACUACUGCAUAUGCUUUUGAGUUUUCACAGUUUUUCUCAUGAGUUGUGACAGGAUGACAACAAAACUACUGCCUUAAUUACACGAAGAUUGGAAGGUGUGUAACAGCCCCUCAAGAUGACUGAAGAAAUUUCACAUGAAAUACAAACCUCAAGACUAGCAUUUAAAUAUGCCAAGAUAAAAAUUUUAAAGUCCCAUAAUGGCCACAAUCUUGAUGUUCUAUCCGUUCGUUGAUGUAGGCUGCUGUUUACAUUUGGAACCAAAAGCCAACUAGCCCUUUUUAGCAUGACGUGAAUAUAUUUUCUAAAAAUUAGUUACAACCUUCACUGGAAAUCUUCUGGUUCCCACAAAGUCAUUUAAGGUAAAAACCGCAAAAGAUAUGAAGUGAUGGACUUCUAAUAAUGAAUUAUUUCACCUAGUGACAUUAUUUAUGUAUAUCGGGUAGUCCAGAUCUCACAGUUGAGCAAAUUUCCCCAAAGCCAAGUCACAGCUUGCCAUUACCCUCUGUAUUUGAAGAUGACAUUCCUGGUCAUGAGUGUGCUCCAAGUGGAAGCGUAGAAGGAGAAACCGAUAUGCAAUAACACUUUCCACAUGUAGAGAUGACUCCUUAAUUUUCAAGGUUUUCUAAGACUUGACUGCCCAGAUGUUGUAUUAAAAAGACCAACAGUCUCUGACUGCUGCAUGUAGGCCUCUGCGCCAGCCAGGUGUUUGGACUGCAGCAGCUAAUAAACGUGAGAGCAUUUCUAUUUUCUAUUUUCUUUGCCUGCCUCCUCCUCGGUUCACUGUACAGCAGUGGCUUCGGGAUCUGACUGUCAUUCAUUCUCCACACAUCUACAGCCUCAGAGGGUUGUGCUGUGAUGAGCCGUAGCACUUCUAUACUGGCAGACUGGCUGAGUUCCAGCCCUUGUUUUAAAGGAUCCUGUCUUGCCAGUUAAUGUAAAGUAUUGCUCUGGUCUGGGCCAGUGAGUUCAGGAGCAAGGUUCUCGUGAAGGUCUGCUAGGGCCCUGGAAUGCUACUUAGGGACCACCUCCAGUCUCUGAUCACUAAAUCAGUGAUGUUCGUGGAGGUUAAAUGCAUGUCAAAAGGAAAAGGAUCAUUAAUGUGUUCUAUGUAUUCAAAAGGCAAUGGAUUUUAUCCUUAACCCUCCCCUAUUACUAAUAAGGUGAGAUAUGGUUUACUGAGUGAUCCAAGACUAACCAAGAUGACAACUGUAUUGGAGGUCAAUUCAGAGGAAGACAAGCAAAUUUGCAGCAUAUAUUCUGUAAGAUAUAGAACUGACACCAAAGUCAAAGCUGAGGAGUUGGUGCUCAUAGUUAUAGCUCAAAAAUGUAAACAAAAACUCAACAACUUUAGAAAACUCUCCUAAAGAUUUAACUGACUACAUAGGAAAGAGCCUAAACACGUAGAUGGCACAACAGAUUAUCUCCUCCAGCAGCUGUCAUCAGAGAGGUAAAGAACUUCUACUCCAUUUUGCAGCAACUAAGUCCAGAUGCUAUUAUUACUUAAGAAUAGGAAGCCGGAGAACCUAUAUAUACAGCUGUGUACCACCUGACCACCACAGCCCCGUGUACUAUAUCCUAAUGCCAGUAGAUGUGGAGAAUGAAGAGAAAUGUAAAAAUUUAAUAAAGUUUAGAACUAACACUGUCUCUUUAUGUCCAAACUAGUUUGAUUAUUCAUUAUUUGGAUGUUUUUUUUUCUUUGUAAUAAUGUCGUAACCUCAUAAGUUACUUUUAAAAAAGAGAAAGAAUGAAUGAAGAAAAUAUGUGAAAGAAAAUGCCUGUAAACCUGAUGUUGAUGUCUCUGAGCUAUUGUAAACUGCUGAGCAAAUGCUUAGAUUGAUAAUAUGAAUGCUUUCAUUUCUGGAGUGGAAGAAAAGUGAAAUUAGUAAUGUGAUGUAAUUAAAAUAUUAUGUCUUCUGUAACAUGUUCUAGAUAUACUAUUUGUUAUGUCAUAUAACUGCUUAUAUCUUGAAGAUAUUUAUCUUAUUGAGUAAAUAAAACUUUGCUUUUCCCCCCA
RNAcentral lists this long non-coding RNA (4301 nucleotides) under Canis lupus familiaris (dog). RNAcentral describes it as "lncRNA (ENSCAFG00000051756.1)". Lineage: Eukaryota; Metazoa; Chordata; Mammalia; Carnivora; Canidae. The record is from RNAcentral.